GAACGUAGCGAAAUGCGAUACUUGGUGUGAAUUGCAGAAUCCCGUGAACCAUCGAGUCUUUGAACGCAAGUUGCGCCCGAUGCCUUCAGGCUGAGGGCACGUCUGUUUGGGCGUCACGCAUCUCGUCAACGCCUCCCACGUCGUCUUCUUCCGCCACUCAAG
RNAcentral lists this ribosomal RNA (162 nucleotides) under Primulina dichroantha. RNAcentral's name for it is "5.8S ribosomal RNA". The stretch from base 1 to 116 matches the Rfam family "5.8S ribosomal RNA", at positions 41 to 154 of the family's 154-position model. From Rfam's summary of the family: 5.8S ribosomal RNA (5.8S rRNA) is a component of the large subunit of the eukaryotic ribosome. It is transcribed by RNA polymerase I as part of the 45S precursor that also contains 18S and 28S rRNA. Lineage: Eukaryota; Viridiplantae; Streptophyta; Magnoliopsida; Lamiales; Gesneriaceae. The record is from RNAcentral.